GCCUACGGGGCGCAGCAGUGAGGAAUAUUGGUCAAUGGUCGGGAGACUGAACCAGCCAAGCCGCGUGAGGGAGGAAGGUACAGAGUAUCGUAAACCUCUUUUGUCAGGGAACAAAGGCGGGGACGUGUCCCCGGAUGAGUGUACCUGAAGAAAAAGCAUCGGCUAACUCCGUGCCAGCAGCCGCGGUAAUACGGAGGAUGCGAGCGUUAUCCGGAUUUAUUGGGUUUAAAGGGUGCGCAGGCGGGCCGUUAAGGCAGCGGUCAAAGCCCGGGGCUCAACCCCGGCCGGCCGGUGAAACGGGCAGG
RNAcentral lists this ribosomal RNA (305 nucleotides) under uncultured bacterium. RNAcentral describes it as "bacterial SSU rRNA". It matches the Rfam family "Bacterial small subunit ribosomal RNA", at positions 337 to 640 of the family's 1533-position model. The record is from RNAcentral.